CAGCAGCCGCGGUAAAACAGAGGGUGCGAGCGUUAAUCGGAUUUACUGGGCGUAAAGCGUGCGUAGGCGGCUAAUUGAGUCGGAUGUGAAAUCCCCGAGCUUAACUUGGGAAUUGCAUUCGAUACUGGUUAGCUAGAGUGUGGGAGAGGAUGGUAGAAUUCCAGGUGUAGCGGUGAAAUGCGUAGAGAUCUGGAGGAAUACCGAUGGCGAAGGCAGCCAUCUGGCCUAACACUGACGCUGAGGUACGAAAGCAUGGGGAGCAAACAGGAUUAGAUACCCCAGUAGUCCCUGUCUCUUAUAC
RNAcentral lists this ribosomal RNA (301 nucleotides) under uncultured bacterium. Its description in RNAcentral is "partial 16S ribosomal RNA". It matches the Rfam family "Bacterial small subunit ribosomal RNA", at positions 509 to 807 of the family's 1533-position model. The record is from RNAcentral.